GACGAACCGGGCGAACGUUAUUCGGAAUCACUGGGCUUAAAGGGCGCGUAGGCGGGCGGUCAAGUCAGGGGUGAAAGCCCCCAGCUCAACUGGGGAAGUGCCUCUGAUACUGGCCAUCUCGAGGGCGGUAGGGGCGUGCGGAACUUCCGGUGGAGCGGUGAAAUGCGUAGAUAUCGGAAGGAACACCGGUGGCGAACGCGGCGCGCGGGAGCUAUCCGGACGCUGAGGCGCGAAAGCCAGGGGAGCAAACAGG
Molecule: ribosomal RNA, 253 nt
Filed under: uncultured bacterium
Lineage: Bacteria
Description: partial 16S ribosomal RNA
Rfam family: Bacterial small subunit ribosomal RNA
Source: RNAcentral